UACCACUUAUGUUAUCUGAUUGC
This 23-nucleotide non-coding RNA is filed under the name Arabidopsis thaliana (thale cress). The record is from RNAcentral. Lineage: Eukaryota; Viridiplantae; Streptophyta; Magnoliopsida; Brassicales; Brassicaceae.